GACGAACGCUGGCGGCGUGCCUAGUACAUGCCAGUUGAGCGCUGAAGGUUGGUACUUGUACCAACUGGAUGAGCAGCGAACGGGUGAGUAACGCGUGGGGAAUCUGCCUUUGAGCGGGGGACAACAUUUGGAAACGAAUGCUAAUACCGCAUAAAAACUUUAAACACAAGUUUUAAGUUUGAAAGAUGCAAUUGCAUCACUCAAAGAUGAUCCCGCGUUGUAUUAGCUAGUUGGUGAGGUAAAGGCUCACCAAGGCGAUGAUACAUAGCCGACCUGAGAGGGUGAUCGGCCACAUUGGGACUGAGACACGGCCCAAACUCCUACGGGAGGCAGCAGUAGGGAAUCUUCGGCAAUGGACGAAAGUCUGACCGAGCAACGCCGCGUGAGUGAAGAAGGGUUUCGGAUCGUAAAACUCUGUUGGUAGAGAAGAACGUUGGUGAGAGUGGAAAGCUCAUCAAGUGACGGUAACUACCCAGAAAGGGACGGCUAACUACGUG
This 497-nucleotide ribosomal RNA is filed under the name uncultured bacterium. Its description in RNAcentral is "partial 16S ribosomal RNA". It matches the Rfam family "Bacterial small subunit ribosomal RNA", at positions 28 to 507 of the family's 1533-position model. The record is from RNAcentral.